CCAGUUUUAACUGGGAGUGGUAGGGGAGCAUUCUAUGCGGGAACCACGAAGUGGUAUCCUGACUUUGUCAGGAUGAAGGUGCGGCGUGAGCCGUGCUGGACUGCAUAGAAAAGCAAAUGUUGGCAUAAGUAACGAUAAGGUCGAUGAAAAAUCGGCCCACCGAAAGUCUAAGGUUUCCUGAGCAACGUUAAUCGUCUCAGGGUUAGUCGGACCCUAAGCCGAGGCUGAAAGGCGUAGGUGAUGGGAAACAGGUUAAUAUUCCUGUACCUGGUGAAUUUCGCUUGACUCUGAGGGGUGACGCAGGAGUGAAAGGUCAGCCACCUGCCGGCCUUAGGUGGUCUAAGCGUGUAGAUGGAGGAUGUAGGCAAAUCCGCAUCCUCGCUAACAUCGAGACGCGACGGGGAGUCCCUUUGGGACACAAACUGACCCUAAGCACACUGCCAAGAAAAACCUCGCAGAGGAGAAAUUCAUCAGUCCGUACCGCAAACCGACACAGGUAGACGGGAAGAGUAUUCUAAGGUGCUCGAGUGAGCCGUGGUUAAGGAACUCGGCAAAUUGACCCCGUAACUUCGGGAGAAGGGGUGCCCUUAGUAGGUGACAACCUUCGCGGUUGGAGCCGAAUAGGGUCGCAGUGAAAUGGGCCAAGCGACUGUUUAUCAAAAACACAGGUCUCUGCGAAGUCAAUUAAGACGACGUAUAGGGACUGACACCUGCCCGGUGCUGGAAGGUUAAGGGGAGGGGUUAGCGCAAGCGAAGCUGCGAACUGAAGCCCCGGUGAACGGCGGCGGUAACUAUAACCGUCCUAAGGUAGCGAAAUUCCUUGUCAGGUAAGUUCUGACCCGCACGAAUGGUGUAACGACUGGAGCACUGUCUCAACGAGGGACUCGGCGAAAUUGAACUAGUGGUGAAGAUGCCAUUUACCCGCACCAGGACAAAAAGACCCCGUGGAGCUUUACUGUACCCUGGCAUUGCGCUAGGACUUCGUCUGUGUAGGAUAGGUGGGAGGCUGUGAAGCCGGGGCGCCAGCUUCGGUGGAGCCGACGGUGAAAUACCACCCUGACGGAGUUUUGGCCCUAACCCUGAUCCGUCAUCCGGACAGGAGACAGUGCCAGGCGGGCAGUUUGACUGGGGUGGUCGCCUCCUAAAAGGUAACGGAGGCGCCCAAAGGUUCCCUCAGGCUGAAUGGAAACCAGCCGUUGAGUGCAAAGGCAUAAGGGAGCUUGACUGCAAGACUGACACGUCGAGCAGGGACGAAAGUCGGGCUUAGUGAUCCCACGAUGCUGAGUGGAAAGGUCGUGGCAAUCGGAUAAAAGCUACCCCGGGGAUAACAGGCUAGUGAGGCCCAAGCGUCCACAGCGACGGCCUCGCUCGGCACCUCGAUGUCGGCUCGGCGCAUCCUGGGGCUGAAUAAGGUCCCAAGGGUCGGCCUGUUCGGCCGUUAAAGCGUUACGUGAGCUGGGUUCAAACCGUCGUGAGACAGGUUGGUCUCUAUCCGGUGUGGGCGUAGGGGAUUUGAGGGGAGCUGUCCAUAGUACGAGAGGACCGGGAUGGACGCACCGCUGGUGUGCCAGUUGUUCCGCCAGGAGCACCGCNUGGGUAGCCAUGUGC
Molecule: ribosomal RNA, 1608 nt
Filed under: hot springs metagenome
Description: bacterial LSU rRNA
Rfam family: Bacterial large subunit ribosomal RNA
Source: RNAcentral